This is a long non-coding RNA of Lactuca sativa (garden lettuce), 661 nucleotides long. RefSeq lists it as uncharacterized. The record is from RefSeq and is a predicted model, not a curated record. NCBI's taxonomy places the organism in Eukaryota, Viridiplantae, Streptophyta, Magnoliopsida, Asterales, Asteraceae.
UCGUGUCCUUCUCGAAAAACCGGAAGCCAUAUCGUCGUUGGAUUAGGGAUACGCAACACCAAAAUUACUCGCAGCGAUUGCUAUCAUUAUGGGAGCAACGGUUAUCUUGAAGCUCUAUUUCAGUAUUUAUACCCGUUAGUUCCUAAUUUAUUAACUCAACUGAUUCUGCUACUGAAACCAUCACAGCCGUUAAUCAGGAAUGGCUAGAAACCAGAAUCAUGAUGAUGAUGCAUCGUCAUCUAGCAGGAAGAGGAGGGUCGAGAUUUGUGACAACAAUGGUGCAACACCUUGGUCAGGGCUUAACCAUGAUGUGUUGUUGUUAGUUAUGAUGCAACUGAAUGUCGUUGAUUUUGUUGCAUUGAGUGGAGUUUGCAAGUCAUGGAGAUCAUUUGCACUCAGGUUUUUGGCAUCCAGACCACCCAUGUUGAUAAGGAUCUCUAAUCAUCCUUAUACGAAAGAGUGCUACUGCCACCCGGAGGAUAUUGAAGGAAGAAAAUUCAAAACCCUCCUUCCCCAUUCUGCUGACACUAAAUGUAUUGGAUUAACUUGUGGUUACUUGAUCUUGUUAAGUUGGAAAACCGAUGACUACUAGCUUGUGAAUCCUAUCACAAUGGAUCAACUACAUUUCCCUGCUAUCCCUAUUUUAGAAAAUCUUGUCCUA